RNAcentral lists this small nucleolar RNA (117 nucleotides) under Moesziomyces antarcticus. RNAcentral describes it as "Pseudozyma antarctica Small nucleolar RNA snR60/Z15/Z230/Z193/J17". It matches the Rfam family "Small nucleolar RNA snR60/Z15/Z230/Z193/J17". From Rfam's summary of the family: The members of this family belong to the C/D class of snoRNAs which contain the C (UGAUGA) and D (CUGA) box motifs. Most of the members of the box C/D family function in directing site-specific 2'-O-methylation of substrate RNAs. The record is from Rfam by way of RNAcentral. Lineage: Eukaryota; Fungi; Basidiomycota; Ustilaginomycetes; Ustilaginales; Ustilaginaceae.
GGCAUCCAAAGGAUUAUAACCCGAAAACAAAUGCAUAGUUCAAAUCUAGAGCCCUUGCAGGCUCAAUGCGAACACCCAUUCCAUCUAAACGUCUUUCGCUCCUAUAUGAUGGAUCGC